RNAcentral lists this long non-coding RNA (252 nucleotides) under Ananas comosus (pineapple). RNAcentral's name for it is "long non-coding RNA (ACOM_LNC015066)". Lineage: Eukaryota; Viridiplantae; Streptophyta; Magnoliopsida; Poales; Bromeliaceae. The record is from RNAcentral.
GGGCCGCAACCCCCUCUCAAAGCACUCCGCUCGGUCCCGGUUACUAUGAAUCAAUCCCGGUACACAAUUCACCAAAUGCGAUAAUUCCCGCUCGUACUCCCACACAGAACGACUUCCCUGCCUCAACUUGAGAAAAUCCUCUUUCAUUUUUCGCUUAUCACUAUCGGAGAAGUACUCCAUUAGUAGCAACCCCCGAAAUUCUUCCCAAGUCAACGAAGGAAGAUCCGCAGACCGAUUCUUCUUAACUCACGU